RNAcentral lists this ribosomal RNA (221 nucleotides) under Listeria monocytogenes. RNAcentral describes it as "partial 16S ribosomal RNA". It matches the Rfam family "Bacterial small subunit ribosomal RNA", at positions 1 to 216 of the family's 1533-position model. Lineage: Bacteria; Bacillati; Bacillota; Bacilli; Caryophanales; Listeriaceae. The record is from RNAcentral.
UUUAAAGAGAGUUUGAUCCUGGCUCAGGACGAACGCUGGCGGCGUGCCUAAUACAUGCAAGUCGAACGAACGGAGGAAGAGCUUGCUCUUCCAAAGUUAGUGGCGGACGGGUGAGUAACACGUGGGCAACCUGCCUGUAAGUUGGGGAUAACUCCGGGAAACCGGGGCUAAUACCGAAUGAUAAAGUGUGGCGCAUGCCACGCUUUUGAAAGAUGGUUUCG